CGGGUGCUCUUACCCACUGAGCCAUCUCACCAGCCCAAGAUUUCAUUUUUUAUUUAUGUGCAUGUGUCUGAAUGAAUGCCACAUGUGUUGCAGGUACUCUUGAAGGCCAGAAGAGCUGGAGUUCCAGGUGGUUAUAAGCUGCCUGACUUGGGUGCUGGGAACUGAACUCAGGUCCUAGGGACGAGCACUAAGUGCUCUUAACAGUAAGCCAUCUUAUGGCUCAUGUUUAUUACAUCAUCUUGUUUCUUUUCUUUUCUUUUCUUUUUUUUUUUUUUUUGGUUUUUCGAGAGAGGGUUUCUCUGUAGCCCUGGCUGUCCUGGAACUCACUUUGUAGACCAGGCUGGCCUUGAACUCACAAAUCCACCUGCCUCUGCCUCCCAAGUGCUGGGAUUAAAGGUGUGUGCCACCACCGCCUGGCCAUCAUCUCCUUUCUUAACCAAAGGCUUACAUAUUACAUAUAUGAAAAACAAAAACAAAAUGAAACAAACAAACAAACCAAAAACCUUGGCUGGGCAGUGGUGGCACACGCCUUUAAUUCCAGGCAGGGCUACAUAGAGAAACCCUGUCUUGAAAACAAACACUAAAACCACAAAAACUGUAUACUUCCUUUUUGUUCUGGGAAAGCAUCUAUGCUAAUUCAAGCUGGCUUUGAAUCCUUGAGAUGAAGAGAUUCUCUUGCCUCAGACUCCCAAGUAAAUGAGCUCAGGUGUGUCUUUGUGUGUGUGUGUGUGUGUGUGUGUGUAUGUGUGCCAUAAACAUGCCUGAAAAGCACUGUAACAUGGAGCCAGGCUCCUAGUCCUGGUUUCUUGACACAAUGUCCUCCUAUGGAGCUGGUUUUGACGCUGAGCUCCUGCCUCUGCCCAGUGACUUGAUGGUACAGGUGUUUGUGACCAUGCCCAGUAGAAAUAGGGAGGCAGAGGCAGGCGGAUUUCUGAGUUCGAGGCCAGCCUGGUCUACAAAGUGAGUUCCAGGACAGCCAGAGCUACACAGAGAAACCCUGUCUCAAAAAAAAAUCACUUUAAAAUGUAUUGUGUGUAUGCGUGAUGAGCAGGGACAUAUGCCAUGGCACAUGGAGUCGGUUCUCUCCUUCCAUCUUUAUGUGAGUUUCGGGGUUCAGAACUCAGGUUGCCGGGCAUUGAAUGGUAAGUGCUAUUACUCCCUGAACCAUCUUAGCACCUCAAAACCAGUCUUUCUUGCUGCCAUCUAAUAGGCCGGGUUGGUUUGAAGAUUGAGGGAUUUAAUUUCACAAAGACUUGUUUUUGCAGAGCAAUUAUCACAUUGUUGAAGCCUUGGCUGGUGCCUACACCCUCCCACACAGGACCUCACGCUCCCAUAGAAGCCACCCACAGAGGCAGCACCUUAAAGUGUGAUGUGGUGAGCAACGCAAGUGGCCAUCUGUGGAUAGACAUAUAUGACUUGAAGCCGGCUCAGGGGCUGAGUAGCUAGCUAGCUAGAGCAUUUGCCUGGAUCCCAGAUUUCCCAAGGCUUCCUUUCGACUACGACAAAGUGUGACAAAAACAAGAUCUGUCUGUAAUCUUGUCUGGGAACAGAGAAAUAAACAUUGUUCCAAAAAGAAUAAAUGGCCAAAUAUCUCCUAA
This is a long non-coding RNA of Mus musculus (house mouse), 1598 nucleotides long. RefSeq annotates it as predicted gene, 33135. Lineage: Eukaryota; Metazoa; Chordata; Mammalia; Rodentia; Muridae. The transcript has 2 exons. The record is from RefSeq and is a predicted model, not a curated record.